UGACGGGUUGUAGCUGGCCUCUCACGAGGCAUGUGCACGCCUGGCUCAUCCACUCUUAACCUCUGUGCACUUUAUGUAAGAGAAAAAAUGGUGGAAGCUUCCAGGAUCUCGCGAGAGGUCUUUGGUUGAACAAGCCGUUUUUCUUUCUUAUGUUUUACUACAAACGCUUCAGUUAUAGAAUGUCAACUGUGUAUAACACAUUUAUAUACAACUUUCAGCAACGGAUCUCUUGGCUCUCGCAUCGAUGAAGAACGCAGCGAAAUGCGAUAAGUAAUGUGAAUUGCAGAAUUCAGUGAAUCAUCGAAUCUUUGAACGCACCUUGCACUCCUUGGUAUUCCGAGGAGUAUGCCUGUUUGAGUCUCAUGGUAUUCUCAACCCCUAAAUUUUUGUAAUGAAGGUUUAGCGGGCUUGGACUUGGAGGUUGUGUCGGCCCUUGUCGGUCGACUCCUCUGAAAUGCAUUAGCGUGAAUCUUACGGAUCGCCUUCAGUGUGAUAAUUAUCUGCGCUGUGGUGUUGAAGUAUUUAUGGUGUUCAUGCUUCGAACCGUCUCCUUGCCGAGACAAUCAUUUGACAAUCUGAGCUCAAAUCAGGUAGGACUACCCGCUGAACUUAAGCAUAUCAAUAA
This 625-nucleotide ribosomal RNA is filed under the name Irpex lacteus. RNAcentral describes it as "eukaryotic LSU rRNA". The stretch from base 210 to 363 matches the Rfam family "5.8S ribosomal RNA". The record is from RNAcentral. Lineage: Eukaryota; Fungi; Basidiomycota; Agaricomycetes; Polyporales; Irpicaceae.